This 136-nucleotide ribosomal RNA is filed under the name Biatoropsis sp. Its description in RNAcentral is "partial 5.8S ribosomal RNA". It matches the Rfam family "5.8S ribosomal RNA", at positions 19 to 154 of the family's 154-position model. From Rfam's summary of the family: 5.8S ribosomal RNA (5.8S rRNA) is a component of the large subunit of the eukaryotic ribosome. It is transcribed by RNA polymerase I as part of the 45S precursor that also contains 18S and 28S rRNA. Lineage: Eukaryota; Fungi; Basidiomycota; Tremellomycetes; Tremellales; Tremellaceae. The record is from RNAcentral.
UCUUGGCUCUCGCAUCGAUGAAGAACGCAGCGAAAUGCGAUAAGUAAUGUGAAUUGCAGAAUUCAGUGAAUCAUCGAAUCUUUGAACGCACCUUGCGCCUUUUGGUAUUCCGAAAGGCAUGCCUGUUUGAGUGUCA